AUCCUUGCAGCAAGUUUCAGAACAGUGUAAGUGACAGUAAUGCUUCCAAUAUCUAAUAUGUCUUUUAAAAAAAAAUGCAGGAUACAAGGAGUGGUAAUGUCUCAAAGAUGACUAAAUUGAUAAACUGCACAGUUGUUUCCCUGGCCUGGCUAGACUGCUGGGCCGUUCCAACCCAGUGGCGUUGGUAGGGGUUGAAUUACAGUGAGCUGUGUCUGAUUUCAUGUCAGGUGAGCUUAAAAGUUGGGCAGUAAUAACGUUAAUUCCCACCUCCUGUGGCCAGAGCUGUGGCAGGCUUCAAGAAGAGAAAAGCUCCUCUCCCUUUGCAGAAGUAGGUUCCUCAGGGUUUUUAAAAAGAUGGAAAGGUACGGGAGGAAAGAUUAAUACUGUUACUGUGUGUUGUAUCUCUGCUCUGUGAUGUCUUUUGAUCUGUGAUGUCUUUUGUUGAAGGUAGAUGGGGUCAGAACUGGGAUUGGUGUGUGUUAGUG
Molecule: long non-coding RNA, 485 nt
Filed under: Gallus gallus (chicken)
Lineage: Eukaryota; Metazoa; Chordata; Aves; Galliformes; Phasianidae
Description: long non-coding RNA NONGGAT008141
Source: RNAcentral